This 164-nucleotide ribosomal RNA is filed under the name uncultured bacterium. RNAcentral's name for it is "partial 16S rRNA". It matches the Rfam family "Bacterial small subunit ribosomal RNA", at positions 355 to 511 of the family's 1533-position model. The record is from RNAcentral.
UAGGGAAUCUUCCACAAUGGACGAAAGUCUGAUGGAGCAACGCCGCGUGUGUGAUGAAGGGUUUCGGCUCGUAAAACUCUGUUGUUAAAGAAGAACAUAUCUGAGAGUAACUGUUCAGGUAUUGACGGUAUUUAACCAGAAAGCCACGGCUAACUACGUGUCAG